RNAcentral lists this non-coding RNA (619 nucleotides) under Daucus carota subsp. sativus. Its description in RNAcentral is "Bacterial large subunit ribosomal RNA". It matches the Rfam family "Bacterial large subunit ribosomal RNA", at positions 2096 to 2632 of the family's 2925-position model. The record is from Rfam by way of RNAcentral. Lineage: Eukaryota; Viridiplantae; Streptophyta; Magnoliopsida; Apiales; Apiaceae.
CAGGUUCAUUGUUUUUUGAAAUUGACUUUGUGCUUUUACUGCGCAGCUUAGGUGGAAGGUGAAGAAGGCCUCAGUCCAAGGAGUCCGAGUUAUCGGUCAGAUAUCACUCUGUCUAAACUUGUGUCAGGAUUUACGAGUUAAGAUACUCUCGCACAUAGAUCAAUAUUUAUAGAGCGUAAGUCUCCCAAAAGGUAACGAAAGCAUGUAAAAAGUCCUCGAGUGCAAAGAUAUAAAGGAGUUUGAUUACAAGAUUCACAUGUCGGGUGAGGACGAAAGUACAUCUUGAUGAUUCAAAUGGUACGGAAUAGAAGAAUCGUCACUCAACAUCAAUGGAUAACUUUACUGAUUUAAAUGGUACCGAAUAGAAAAGUCGUCGUUCAAAGGAUAUAAAUCGGGUAGGGACAAAAAUCGGUCUUAAUAAUCCGAUGGUGUCAAAUAAAAAGGGCGUUGUUCAAUAAUCUAAGUAUAACCGUCAAUUUUUAUCAAUAAUUCACAUUGAAGGGAAGAUUUGACACCUCAAUAUCGGCUCUUCCUCACCUAGAUGGUAGUAUGUUCCAAAAUUAUGUUGUUCGCCCAUUAAAAUGAUAUUUGAGUUAAGUUCAGAACCUCGAGGUAUUAC